GGCUUAGAGUUUGAUCAUGGCUCAGGACGAACGCUGGCGGCGCGCCUAACACAUGCAAGUCGAACGGGGUUGAGAGGAGCUUGCUUUUCUUGACUUAGUGGCGAACGGGUGAGUAACGCGUGAGGAACCUGCCUCAAAGAGGGGGACAACAGUUGGAAACGACUGCUAAUACCGCAUAAGCCCACGGUCUCGCAUGGGACAGAGGGAAAAGGAGCAAUCCGCUUUGAGAUGGCCUCGCGUCCGAUUAGCUAGUUGGUGAGGUAACGGCCCACCAAGGCGACAAUCGGUAGCCGGACUGGGAGGUUGAACGGCCACAUUGGGACUGAGACACGGCCCAGACUCCUACGGGAGGCAGCAGUGGGGAAUAUUGCACAAUGGGGGAAACCCUGAUGCAGCGACGCCGCGUGGAGGAAGAAGGUCUUCGGAUUGUAAACUCCUGUUGUUGGGGAAAAAGAGGAUGGUACCCAACAAGGAAGUGACGGCUAACUACGUGCCAGCAGCCGCGGUAAAACGUAGGUCACAAGCGUUGUCCGGAAUUAUUGGGUGUAAAGGGUGCGUAGGCGGGAUGUAAAGUCAGAUGUGAAAUGCCGCGGCUCAACCGCGGAGCUGCAUUUGAAACUUAUGUUCUUGAGUGAAGUAGAGGUAAGCG
This 649-nucleotide ribosomal RNA is filed under the name uncultured organism. RNAcentral describes it as "bacterial SSU rRNA". It matches the Rfam family "Bacterial small subunit ribosomal RNA", at positions 1 to 663 of the family's 1533-position model. The record is from RNAcentral.